This 21-nucleotide non-coding RNA is filed under the name Caenorhabditis elegans. The record is from RNAcentral. Lineage: Eukaryota; Metazoa; Nematoda; Chromadorea; Rhabditida; Rhabditidae.
UACGAUGAUGUUUUGUUCAAU